UUCGUUCUUCUCCAGUAAUUGACC
Molecule: microRNA, 24 nt
Filed under: Brachypodium distachyon (stiff brome)
Lineage: Eukaryota; Viridiplantae; Streptophyta; Magnoliopsida; Poales; Poaceae
Description: bdi-miR7716-3p
Source: miRBase by way of RNAcentral